This 7771-nucleotide long non-coding RNA is filed under the name Zea mays. RNAcentral's name for it is "long non-coding RNA (ZMAY_LNC000207)". The record is from RNAcentral. Lineage: Eukaryota; Viridiplantae; Streptophyta; Magnoliopsida; Poales; Poaceae.
GGAGCUCAUUACAGGCAAGUUGUGCCCUUGAUCACUUACUUUUCCCAGCCAUGUUCUUAUUAAUUAUAAUGAUCUGCAUAGGAUAAUUUUGAUGGGAGCCUUUAUGUACCCCAGUUUUGAUUACCUCUAUACCUUGUUCACCCCUGGAAUAUUUUUGGGUAGUACUCGCUAUUGCUUUAUGUGGAUUGGGUAUGGAGAUUCAUUAUUCAUGAUUAUUCUGUUAUUAUCUUGUUAUUAUUAUUGUUCAUGUUAAGAUCAUUAAAUUAAUGGGAACAUGGAGCGACCACCCGGGAAAACAGUGCUACCACAAGGGUUUAAUGGGACGCCCUUGGCUGACUAAUUAGGAAAGCUAGUGGAAGACUACCUUACCCGAAAGGGGCAAGGGCAGUAGGGGAGAGGUCAGUGCGGGGAGGUCCCUGGUUGAUUUUGCUGCGAUGGCUAUCAGCCAGGAACCCUUUACUGGAUCUUCCCAUAAACUGUAGCGGGUUUUCGGAAGCUAGUGGAACUUUGUAAAGGCCUCGUAGUGGAUCCCUAGCCAUUCACCUCGGUAGUGUCUAAGGGCCUUGCAAACCCAGGCGACAUGGGAUACACGACUUGUGGGUAAAGAUGCGCAACCUCUGCAGAGUGUAAAACUAGUAUACUAGCCGUGCUCACGGUCAAGAGCGGCUCGGACCCUCACAUGAUUAAAUAUGGAACUUAAAUUCAAUUUGACAUUUGCAUCGCAUUUGGGAUUAUUUUACUAUUACUGUUCUUUAUUAUUAUUAAGGUUUGGUAUUUACUUACACUUAGUAAUUGCUAAUAAAAGUUGGACCAACUUAUAAAAGCAAUGCUCAGCCUCAACCUCUAUUUCAUUGAUCAGCCUUACACUACAUGAACUCCCACCUUUGGUGAGUUCAUGCCACAUUAUUCCCCACGACUUGUUGAGCUAUGAUCGUAUGUGAGCUCACUCUUGCUGUCUCACACCCCCCACAGGAGAAGAACAGGUGGUCGAAGAGGAGCCGCCUAGCACCGAGGAGUUCGAUCUGAUCUAGGUGGCGUUUCUCAGUUGACAUUGGCGCCGACGAUCCUUAGUUCGUUUUAUAAUUAUUCUUUUAUUUUGUAAUAAGUCUUCCGCUAUGUAAUAAAUACUCUGAUGUUUUAUGACAUUUAUCUCUAUACACUCUGUUAUUAUAUAUGUUGUCUUCUUUGGCGCAUGUAUGAGAUGCACCCGGCUUUGUUCUUUAAAACCGGGUGUUACAGAAGUGGUAUCAGAGGAAAUGUUGACUGUAGGACGAAACCUAGAUAGAAAUGGACAAAACCCUUACCUACUUAUCUUAUUCUGAUUUAUUCUAUACUUAUCUUACUCUUAUUCUUUCUAUGCUUAUCUUGAUCCUGUCUCACCUUCUACUAUUCUACUCUGAUCAUUCUUACCUUUUCUACUCUGACACAAGAUGGAUUUCACACCUUGGAAUCCUUACCCCUAUGAUAUUUUAAGGGAUAGGGAACCUAAGACAAAAUUAAAAAUAUUUUCACUAUUAAAAAUGUUGGUUGAUUGUUCUGAUGAUCAAUGCCUGAUUUGCUUCUUUGAUUGAUUGAAAUAGUAUAGAUGGGCAUCUUAGCAUGUACCACCAUAAGGUAAUGUAUUAGCGUUAGUAGGUGACACACUAAUCUACUAACUAAUAAAUCCCCCGCAGUAACAAUUCCUCGUAAUUACUUGCCUUGUCUACAAUUCUUCCUUUCUUACCCUAUAUUCCUAACCCAAAUGUCUUACUCCUAUAGUGUUAGAAGAGAGCACUAUAGACAUGAUCCUUGGUAUGUCAUGAUUAAGAAAGGCAAAAUCAGUAUAUACACUGUGCUAAGGGACCCGUAGAACUCACCAGUUCCAAAGGAGAAAGAUUUGAAGUUGAGGUUGCAGUAACUACCACCAUCAGACUAGCGACAUUCUUAGUAGAUGGGAAGUUUGUUGGUGUCAACAUCCGUGUGGUUAGAGAUUUUUCGGAUGUCUUCCCAGAAGAGUUACCAGGGAUGCCACCAUAUAGGGAAGUUGAGUUUGUCAUUGAUCCCUUACCUGGGACUACCCCUACUUUCAAACGGCCAUACAGGAGGUCUGUAGAAGAGUUAAAGGGACUGAAGAAGCAGUUAACGGAAUUACAAGAGGCUAGUUACAUACGUCUGAAUUCCUCACCUUGGGGGAGCGCAAGUUCUGUUUGUACAGAAGAAGGAUGGAUCACAACGGAUGUGUGUGGAUUAUAGAUCACUUAAUGAUGUUACUGUGAAGAACAAGUAUCCGUUACCCCGUAUUGAGGAUUUAUUCGAUCAGAUGAGAGGUGCAAAGGUAUUCUCGAAGAUUGAUCUCCAAUCGGGUUACCAUCAAAUGAAGAUUAGGCCAUCGGAUAUUCCCAAGACGAUUUUAUCGACCCGAUAUGGAAUAUAUGAGUUCACUGUUAUGUCGUUUGGAUUAACUAAAACACCAGCCUAUUUUGUGGAUCUAAAGAAUAAAGUGUUCAUGAUUUGGACAGAUUCGUCGGGGUUUUCAUCGACGAUAUUCUUAUCUAUUCUAAGAAUGAAAGUGAUCAUGAACAACAUCUAAGGUUGGUGCUACAGAAGUUACGAGAUAAUCAACUCUAUGCUAAGUUCAGCAAGUGCGAGUUUUGGAUUGACAAGGUGCCAUUCCUUGGUCAUAUUAUUUCUAAUGGAGGAAUAGCAGUGGAUCCUGCUAAAGUGAAGGAGAUAAUGGAGUGUAGAGUGCCCACUACAGUUACCGAGAUUCGGAGUUUCUUGGGACUCGCAGGAUAUUAUCGGAGAUUUAUUGAAGGAUUUUCUAAGAUUGCUAAGCCCAUGACAUCGCUUUUGGAGAAAGGAAGAGAAUUCAAGUGGGAUGAGAAGUGCCAAGAGAGCUUUGAUCAAUUGAAGGAGAGAUUGAUGUCUCCACCAGUAUUGAUUAUGCCAGAUCUGCAGAAGGGAUUUGACAUUUACUGCGAUGCAUGUGGCCAAGGCUUAGGAUGUGUGCUCAUACAAGAAGGACAAGUGAUCGCCUAUGCAUCUCGUCAGUUGCGCAAACAUGAGUUGAACUACCCCACUCAUGACUUGGAAUUGGCUGCCGUUGUGCAUGCACUGAAGAUUUGGAGACACUACAUUGUGGGAACUAAGCGUCAAGUAUACACGGAUCAUAAGAGUUUGAAGUAUAUAUUCACUCAGAAGGAUCUCAACCUUAGGCAACGUCGUUGGUUGGAGCUUAUUAAGGACUAUGAUUUGGAAAUUCACUAUCACCCGGGCAAGGCAAAUUUGGUUGCAGAUGCCUUGAGUCGAAAGGAGCAUGUUCAUUCAGCUGUUGUUGCCCAGCUACCCGAUGAGAUUGUUGAGAAUUUCAGGAGACUUAACCUGGGGAUUGUUGCUCACACUGAAGGAGUUACUAUUGAUGUGGAAUCUACCUUGGAACAAGAAAUCCACAAAGGACAAAUUGGUGAUGCUAAAAUACAAGAGAUUAAGGAUCUGAUUACUGAAGGUCGAGUUCCGGAGUUCACGGAAGAUGAGCAAGGUACUAUAUGGUUCAAAGAUCGGAUAUGUGUUCCAGAGAUUGAUAGCCUCCGUGAGACUAUAUUGAAAGAAGCCCAUGAUUCUGAUUACUCUAUCCACCCUGGAAGCACUAAGAUGUAUCAAGAUUUGAAGCAAAAGUAUUGGUGGUAUGGACUGAAAAGAGAUGUGGCUGCUCAUGUGGCUAAGUGUGAUGUGUGUCAAAGAGUCAAGGCCAAACAUCAAAGACCCGCUGGACUAUUGCACCCAUUGAAGAUACCCGAGUGGAAAUGGGAAGAAAUUGGUAUGGAUUUCAUUGUUGGACUACCCCGCACUCCAGCAGGAUAUGACUCUAUUUGGGUAAUUGUGGAUAGAUUGACAAAAGUGGCUCAUUUCAUACCUGUGAGGACUAAUUACACGGGGGCCAAGCUAGCAGAAUUGUAUAUGACUCGGAUAGUUUGUCUACAUGGAGUACCUAAGAAGAUCGUGUCUGAUCGAGGAUCACAGUUUACUUCUCGAUUUUGGAAGAAGUUGCAUGAGAGCUUGGAUACAAAGUUGAAUUUUAGUUCAGCCUACCAUCCCCAGACUGAUGGACAGACAGAGAGGACUAACCAAGUGCUGGAAGAUAUGUUAAGAGCUUGUGCUCUUAAAUAUGGUGGUAGUUGGGAGAAGAGCUUACCCUAUGCUGAGUUUUCUUAUAAUAAUAGCUAUCAGGCCAAUUUGAAGAUGUCACCAUUUGAGGCUCUGUAUGGCAGAAAGUGCAGGACACCACUGUAUUGGGAUCAAACUGGAGAAAGACAGUUCUUUGGGCCUAAACUUAUUCAAGAGGCAGAAGAACAAGUUCGAAUGAUAAGGGAAAAUUUGAGAAUAGCUCAAACCAGGCAAAAGAGCUAUGCUAAUAAUAGAAGGAGACCACUGGAAUUUGAAGAAGGAGAUUAUGUGUAUCUCAAGGUGUCACCACUCCGGGGUAUGAGAAGGUUCAAAGUCAAAGGAAAGUUGUCCCCUCGCUUUAUUGGACCCUUCUUAAUCUUGAAGCGAGUGGGAGAAGUUGCAUAUCAAUUGGAGUUACCAGAUCAUCUCGCGGAUGUUCAUGAUGUUUUCCAUGUAUCUCAGCUGAAGAAAUGUCUCAGGGUACCUGAAGAACAGUUACCAAUGGAAGACCUUAGUGUUCAAGAGGACUUGACUUAUGCUGAAUACCCCAUCAAGAUUUUGGAUACUUUGACUCGAGUUACGAGGAAUAAGGUUAUAAAGAUGUGCAAAGUUCAAUGGAGCCACCACGGUGAAGAUGAAGCAACUUGGGAAAGAGAAGAAGAACUUCAUAUAGAUUUUCCCCACCUUUUCCCUAGAUCUUCUUAAAUCUCGAGGACGAGAUUAUUUUUAAGGGGGGUAGGAUUUGUAAUACUCAAGUUGUAUACCAAGUGUAAUAAAGAGAGUUCCUCAUUUUGUGUGUCUUAUUUGCAUCAUAAAGGAGCACCCGCACGGCCCACUCAAGCCACGCCGCGCCGCGCCCACUGGGGGCUGGGACCCGCGUGUCGGUCUCGCCCCGCGCGCGCGUCAGCAUCCUCGCGGCGGCUGACCGGGUGGACCCGCGUGUCAGUCGCUGUGUCGCCUUCGCGUUGAAUCGUCCUGUCGCUGCUCCGCCGGGCCCGCGCGUCAGUCGCUUCUUCCUUCACCGCGCCAUGACCGUGCGGACCGAAUCCUUCGCCGGCAACGACGGACUCCGUCAACCACCUCGCCCUGGGUAUAAAACCCAACUACACGAGACCCUUUGACCGUGCCCCGUCGUCCAAACCACUAGAGCCAACUCGUCGCCGAGAAUUUCUCUCCGCCGCGAGGACCAAACCAGCCGCCGCGACCCAAUCGCAUCGUCGUCGACGUCGGGUCCCCGGUGAUCGGCUUUGGAGCAUCUCCAAGUACAUAGGAAGGGUGUCGUGUCAUUCGCGGGCGAAGUCGGCCACUGGGCGUGGCGCAAUUCCUCGUCGAACUUCGACUCGCCGCCGCGGAUCCGCCUUCGUCGUCGCCGGACCCUCUGCGCGCCGAGACUGUCGGUAAUAACCCUUCUACCACGUUCGCCAUCCCCUAAGCAUAGUGUAGUAGCCUUUGAUUGAGCUCUAGGGCGCCUGGUCGUCGGAUUGUCAUUUCUCCGGCGAUGCUCCGCCGUAGGGUGUGGGCGGCGCCGCCGUGACCCGGUAGCUCAGGGUAGGGGGCAGUGGGACCGUCUGAUCUUAUCGGACGGUCUAGGUUCGAACCAGCGUGAGCCGUUGAUGCGGGGAUGGUCGACCCAGAUCAGGACUCCCAUACCGCUUCGCGUCAUUUAAUCUGUGCCGUUGAUCGUCGAAUCCACGAUCCGUAUCGGGUUUCGCUAUUUUCAAUCGCUACCAUCGAUUCCGGAUCCAGCGGGCCGGAUGGCGUACCGGUUCGCUUAGAUGUAGGUUUAAUCUGGCGCGCCCAAGUCUAAUCCAACGGCCGAGGCUCGCCCAUACCGCUUCAUUGGCCGUUUUGCUAAAGAGCCCUUCGCUUAUUAGAUAAUAAACCCGCCGUCCAUACGUUACUAUUCACUGUGUCUAGGAUAUCUUGCGCAGAGACCCCUGAGUUUUCUGGUAUUUGACUCCCAGUCCCGAGAGCAUUAAAAACAGAGAAAUUAAUAUUAGAAAUUCAUUUUUAAUACAAAAACAAAUCUAGAAACUUGUAAAAUGCAUAGAAAAUUCAUUUUAGCUCCAAAUUGAGUCAUUCCAAUUUCUAAAAUUUUGUAAUAUUAUUCUCUGUCAUUUAGAAUCACUGUUUUAACAUGAACUCUGUUAGAAAAUAAAUUUAUCAUCUAAUCCUAUUAUAAUCACCUUAAAUCUUAGGAAAUUCAUAACUUAAAUUCUAUAACUCCAAAUUCAGUGAUUCCAGUUCCUAUGGGUUCAUUUUAAUGUGUAGAUUUUUACUGUAUAUUUCAUUCAUCUGUUUGGUGUGAUGUUGAUUUUGGCUAUACUAUGUAUGUAUUGUGUUGAUGCGAGUAGACGAGCAAGUCACUGUGGAAACUGAGGUUCAGCAAGUAGAGAUAGCUGAGCAGGAGCUCAUUACAGGCAAGUUGUGCCCUUGAUCACUUACUUUUCCCAGCCAUGUUCUUAUUAAUUAUAAUGAUCUGCAUAGGAUAAUUUUGAUGGGAGCCUUUAUGUACCCCAGUUUUGAUUACCUCUAUACCUUGUUCACCCCUGGAAUAUUUUUGGGUAGUACUCGCUAUUGCUUUAUGUGGAUUGGGUAUGGAGAUUCAUUAUUCAUGAUUAUUCUGUUAUUAUCUUGUUAUUAUUAUUGUUCAUGUUAAGAUCAUUAAAUUAAUGGGAACAUGGAGCGACCACCCGGGAAAACAGUGCUACCACAAGGGUUUAAUGGGACGCCCUUGGCUGACUAAUUAGGAAAGCUAGUGGAAGACUACCUUACCCGAAAGGGGCAAGGGCAGUAGGGGAGAGGUCAGUGCGGGGAGGUCCCUGGUUGAUUUUGCUGCGAUGGCUAUCAGCCAGGAACCCUUUACUGGAUCUUCCCAUAAACUGUAGCGGGUUUUCGGAAGCUAGUGGAACUUUGUAAAGGCCUCGUAGUGGAUCCCUAGCCAUUCACCUCGGUAGUGUCUAAGGGCCUUGCAAACCCAGGCGACAUGGGAUACACGACUUGUGGGUAAAGAUGCGCAACCUCUGCAGAGUGUAAAACUAGUAUACUAGCCGUGCUCACGGUCAAGAGCGGCUCGGACCCUCACAUGAUUAAAUAUGGAACUUAAAUUCAAUUUGACAUUUGCAUCGCAUUUGGGAUUAUUUUACUAUUACUGUUCUUUAUUAUUAUUAAGGUUUGGUAUUUACUUACACUUAGUAAUUGCUAAUAAAAGUUGGACCAACUUAUAAAAGCAAUGCUCAGCCUCAACCUCUAUUUCAUUGAUCAGCCUUACACUACAUGAACUCCCACCUUUGGUGAGUUCAUGCCACAUUAUUCCCCACGACUUGUUGAGCUAUGAUCGUAUGUGAGCUCACUCUUGCUGUCUCACACCCCCCACAGGAGAAGAACAGGUGGUCGAAGAGGAGCCGCCUAGCACCGAGGAGUUCGAUCUGAUCUAGGUGGCGUUUCUCAGUUGACAUUGGCGCCGACGAUCCUUAGUUCGUUUUAUAAUUAUUCUUUUAUUUUGUAAUAAGUCUUCCGCUAUGUAAUAAAUACUCUGAUGUUUUAUGACAUUUAUCUCUAUACACUCUGUUAUUAUAUAUGUUGUCUUCUUUGGCGCAUGUAUGAGAUGCACCCGGCUUUGUUCUUU